UACAGAGGUGGCAAGCGUUGUUCGGAAUUACUGGGCGUAAAGGGCGCGUAGGUGGCCUUUUGAGUCAGACGUGAAAUCCCCCGGCUUAACCUGGGAACUGCGUCUGAUACUGGAAGGCUUGAGUUCGGGAGAGGGAUGUGGAAUUCCAGGUGUAGCGGUGAAAUGCGUAGAUAUCGGGAGGAACACCUGUGGCGAAGGCGGCUUUCUGGGCCUUACCUGACGCUGAGACGCGAAAGCGUGGGGAGCGAACCGG
Molecule: ribosomal RNA, 253 nt
Filed under: uncultured bacterium
Lineage: Bacteria
Description: partial 16S ribosomal RNA
Rfam family: Bacterial small subunit ribosomal RNA
Source: RNAcentral